AUGGCUCAGGAUGAACGCUAGCGACAGGCUUAACACAUGCAAGUCGAGGGGCAGCACGGGAGUAGCAAUACUUGGUGGCGACCGGCGCGACGGGUGAGUAACGCGUAUGCAACCUACCUAUCAGAGGGGAAUAACCCGGCGAAAGUCGGACUAAUACCGCAUAAAACAGGGGCACCGCAUGGUGAUAUUUGUUAAAGAAAUUCGCUGAUAGAUGGGCAUGCGUUCCAUUAGGUAGUUGGUGAGGUAACGGCUCACCAAGCCGACGAUGGAUAGGGGAACUGAGAGGUUGGUCCCCCACACUGGUACUGAGACACGGACCAGACUCCUACGGGAGGCAGCAGUGAGGAAUAUUGGUCAAUGGGCGGGAGCCUGAACCAGCCAAGUCGCGUGAAGGAAGAAGGAUCUAUGGUUCGUAAACUUCUUUUGCAGGGGAAUAAAGUGCAGGACGUGUCCUGUUUUGUAUGUACCCUGAGAAUAAGGAUCGGCUAACUCCGUGCCAGCCGCCGC
Molecule: ribosomal RNA, 507 nt
Filed under: uncultured bacterium
Lineage: Bacteria
Description: bacterial SSU rRNA
Rfam family: Bacterial small subunit ribosomal RNA
Source: RNAcentral